This 64-nucleotide transfer RNA is filed under the name Cavia porcellus (domestic guinea pig). It matches the Rfam family "tRNA". Rfam says of the family: Transfer RNA (tRNA) molecules are approximately 80 nucleotides in length. The record is from Rfam by way of RNAcentral. Lineage: Eukaryota; Metazoa; Chordata; Mammalia; Rodentia; Caviidae.
GGGGAUUUAGCUCAGCGGCAUAAGCGCCUGUCUUGCAAGCAGGCAGUCGUGAGUUCAGUCCCCG